GUGAUCAUGCGUACCAGCACUAUAGUACCGGAUCCUCUCUGAACUCCAAAGUCAUGCAUGAUUGGACGAGAGUAGUAUGAGAAUGGGUGUUUGCCAAAAUAACUUGCUAUUCUCC
This is a non-coding RNA of Triticum urartu, 115 nucleotides long. The record is from Rfam. Lineage: Eukaryota; Viridiplantae; Streptophyta; Magnoliopsida; Poales; Poaceae.